This 322-nucleotide ribosomal RNA is filed under the name uncultured Euglyphida. RNAcentral describes it as "SSU rRNA". The stretch from base 108 to 322 matches the Rfam family "Eukaryotic small subunit ribosomal RNA", at positions 738 to 955 of the family's 1831-position model. RNAcentral also lists the same sequence under 1 other name. The record is from RNAcentral. Lineage: Eukaryota; Cercozoa; Imbricatea; Euglyphida.
GAUUUCUGGUUGACCAUCCUGGCCCGCGUCCUUCCGGGCGUGUGUGCUGGUAUGAGUCUUCCAUCCUUCUAGAGAGCCACGCCUGCUGUUCACUCAGCUGGGCGUGUGCGAUCUAGAUCAUUUACUUUGAAAAAAUUAGAGUGUUUAAAGCAGGCUUAUGCCCGAAUACAUUAGCAUGGAAUAAUAAAAUAGGACUUCGGUUCUAUUUUGUUGGUUUCUAGAACUGAAGUAAUGAUUGAUAGGGAUAGUUGGGGGUGCUAGUAUUCAGUGGCCAGAGGUGAAAUUCUUGGAUUCACUGAAGACUAACUACUGCGAAAGCAUU